Molecule: small nuclear RNA, 121 nt
Organism: Rhizoctonia solani AG-1 IA
Lineage: Eukaryota; Fungi; Basidiomycota; Agaricomycetes; Cantharellales; Ceratobasidiaceae
Source: Rfam
GUCCUCUUCGGAGUGACAUAUACAAAAAUUGGAACGAUACAGAGAAGAUUAGCAUGGCCCCUGCACAAGGAUGACACGCUAGUUCAGAGUGGACGGUCUACGGACCGCAAUAUUUAUUUUU